AUAAUCCGGUUUUUUUGAUUGGUCGGCAAGGUGGCCCUUGAUCAAGCUACCGGGAGAGAUGAGCCGCGUCCCUUAGCUAGUGGUAGGGUAUGGCCUACCAGGCGACGAGGGUAGCUGUCUGAGAGGCGAUCAGCCCACUGGAACGGUACACGGCCAGACUCCACGGGAGGCGCAGUGAGGAUAUUGCGCAAUGGGGGAACCCUGACGAGCGAUGCCCGUGAGUGAGAAGGCCUUGGGUCGUAAGCUUUGUCAGUGGGAAGACAGCUUUUAGGCUAAUAUCUUAAGGUCGACGGU
This 294-nucleotide ribosomal RNA is filed under the name uncultured bacterium. RNAcentral describes it as "partial 16S ribosomal RNA". It matches the Rfam family "Bacterial small subunit ribosomal RNA", at positions 173 to 476 of the family's 1533-position model. The record is from RNAcentral.